This 225-nucleotide ribosomal RNA is filed under the name uncultured prokaryote. RNAcentral describes it as "partial 16S ribosomal RNA". It matches the Rfam family "Bacterial small subunit ribosomal RNA", at positions 524 to 748 of the family's 1533-position model. The record is from RNAcentral.
GACAGAGGCCUCGAGCGUUAGGCGGAAUCACUGGGCUUAAAGCGUGUGUAGGCGGAGGCGUAAGUACCUUGUGAAAUCCCACGGCUCAACUAUGGAACUGCUGGGUAUACUGCGUCUCUUGAGUCACUCAGGGGCGAGCGGAACAGAUGGUGGAGCGGUGAAAUGCGUAGAUAUCAUCUGGAACGCCAAUGGUGAAGACAGCUCGCUGGGGGUGUACUGACGCUG